This 253-nucleotide ribosomal RNA is filed under the name uncultured bacterium. RNAcentral describes it as "partial 16S ribosomal RNA". It matches the Rfam family "Bacterial small subunit ribosomal RNA", at positions 524 to 776 of the family's 1533-position model. The record is from RNAcentral.
UACAGAGGUCCCAAGCGUUGUUCGGAUUCACUGGGCGUAAAUGGUGCGUAGGCGGUCGGGUAAGUCUGGCGUGAAAUCUCCAAGCCUAACUUGGAAACUGCGUUGGAUACUAUCCGGCUCGAGGAAUGGAGGGGAGACUGGAAUACUUGGUGUAGCAGUGAAAUGCGUAGAUAUCAAGUGGAACACCAGUGGCGAAGGCGAGUCUCUGGACAUUUCCUGACGCUGAGACGCGAAAGCGUGGGGAGCGAACAGG